Ictalurus furcatus (blue catfish) is the source of this 387-nucleotide long non-coding RNA. RefSeq lists it as uncharacterized. The transcript has 3 exons. NCBI's taxonomy places the organism in Eukaryota, Metazoa, Chordata, Actinopteri, Siluriformes, Ictaluridae. The record is from RefSeq and is a predicted model, not a curated record.
UUAACAAGACGAGACAUAAAAGAGGAGAAAAGUUCACGGUGUUCGAGGGUCACUGCAGUGUCGGAGCAAGCGGCCUUCAUAGGUCGGCGUGAGAGCGAGAAGGUCACGUCCAGGACUCACCUUCUCAUUGGCCAGAUGCAGCAGAGCGACGAAGGCCAAGGGCACGGACAGGUUACUGGCCAUGGUGCCGGGCAGCCUGGAACGGGAAACGAGCGAAAGGCACGAAUUAGUAUAUAAUCGAUCCUGGUGCGCGAAGGAGAGCUGCGCUCCUUCAGGCAUGCGACAGGGCUGUCUGUCAGGAGGCUCCACAUGCUGCUCUUCAGGCGCUUCAUAUCCAUCUUCUUGGCCGUCUUGGCGUAAUUAAUCUCAAUGAUGUUGACCUGGAAC